This 216-nucleotide ribosomal RNA is filed under the name Glomeromycotina sp. RNAcentral's name for it is "partial small subunit ribosomal RNA". The stretch from base 40 to 216 matches the Rfam family "Eukaryotic small subunit ribosomal RNA", at positions 686 to 864 of the family's 1831-position model. Lineage: Eukaryota; Fungi; Glomeromycota. The record is from RNAcentral.
GGGUCAGUAGGUUGGUCGUGCCACCGGUACGUACUGGUCUCACUGAUUCCUCCUUCCUGAAGAACCGUAAUGCCAUUGAUUUGGUGUUGCGGGGAAACAGGACUGUUACUUUGAAAAAAUUAGAGUGUUUAAAGCAAGCUAACGCUUGAAUACAUUAGCAUGGAAUAAUGAAAUAGGACGAUCGAUCCUGUUUUGUUGGUUUCUAGGAUUGACGUA